This 552-nucleotide ribosomal RNA is filed under the name uncultured bacterium. RNAcentral describes it as "bacterial SSU rRNA". It matches the Rfam family "Bacterial small subunit ribosomal RNA", at positions 777 to 1329 of the family's 1533-position model. The record is from RNAcentral.
AAUAGAUACCCCGGUAGUCCACCCCGUAAACGUUGGGAACUAGUUGUGGGGUCCAUUCCACGGAUUCCGUGACGCAGCUAACGCAUUAAGUUCCCCGCCUGGGGAGUACGGCCGCAAGGCUAAAACUCAAAGGAAUUGACGGGGACCCGCACAAGCGGCGGAGCAUGCGGAUUAAUUCGAUGCAACGCGAAGAACCUUACCAAGGCUUGACAUAUAGAGGAAACGGCUGGAAACAGUCGCCCCGCAAGGUCUCUAUACAGGUGGUGCAUGGUUGUCGUCAGCUCGUGUCGUGAGAUGUUGGGUUAAGUCCCGCAACGAGCGCAACCCUCGUUCUAUGUUGCCAGCACGUAAUGGUGGGAACUCAUGGGAUACUGCCGGGGUCAACUCGGAGGAAGGUGGGGAUGACGUCAAAUCAUCAUGCCCCUUAUGUCUUGGGCUUCACGCAUGCUACAAUGGCCGGUACAAAGGGCUGCAAUACCGUAAGGUGGAGCGAAUCCCAAAAAGCCGGUCUCAGUUCGGAUCGGGGUCUGCAACUCGACCCCGUGAAGUCGG